GGCGGCGCGCCUAACACAUGCAAGUCGAACGAGAGAUGAGGAGCUUGCUCUUCAAAUCGAGUGGCGAACGGGUGAGUAACGCGUGAGGAACCUGCCUCAAAGAGGGGGACAACAGUUGGAAACGACUGCUAAUACCGCAUAAGCCCACAGGUCGGCAUCGACCAGAGGGAAAAGGAGCAAUCCGCUUUGAGAUGGCCUCGCGUCCGAUUAGCUAGUUGGUGAGGUAACGGCCCACCAAGGCGACGAUUGGUAGCCGGACUGAGAGGUUGAACGGCCACAUUGGGACUGAGACACGGCCCAGACUCCUACGGGAGGCAGCAGUGGGGGAUAUUGCACAAUGGGGGAAACCCUGAUGCAGCGACGCCGCGUGGAGGAAGAAGGUUUUCGGAUUGUAAACUCCUGUCGUUAGGGACGAUAAUGACGGUACCUAACAAGAAAGCACCGGCUAACUACGUGCCAGCAGCCGCGGUAAAACGUAGGGUGCAAGCGUUGUCCGGAAUUACUGGGUGUAAAGGGAGCGCAGGCGGACCGGCAAGUUGGAAGUGAAAACUAUGGGCUCAACCCAUAAAUUGCUUUCAAAACUGCUGGCCUUGAGUAGUGCAGAGGUAGGUGGAAUUCCCGGUGUAGCGGUGGAAUGCGUAGAUAUCGGGAGGAACACCAGUGGCGAAGGCGACCUACUGGGCACCAACUGACGCUGAGGCUCGAAAGCAUGGGUAGCAAACAGGAUUAGAUACCCUGGUAGUCCAUGCCGUAAACGAUGAUUACUAGGUGUGGGAGGAUUGACCCCUUCAGUGCCGCAGUUAACACAAUAAGUAAUCCACCUGGGGAGUACGACGGCAAAGGUUGAAAUUCAAAGGAAUUUGACGGGGGGCCCGCACAAGCAGUGGAGUAUGUGGUUUAAUUUGAAGCAACGCGAAGAACCUUACCAGGUCUUGACAUCCGAUGCAUAGUGCAGAGAUGCAUGAAGUCCUUCGGGACAUCGAGACAGGUGGUGCAUGGUUGUCGUCAGCUCGUGUCGUGAGAUGUUGGGUUAAGUCCCGCAACGAGCGCAACCCUUAUUGCCAGUUACUACGAAAGAGGACUCUGGCGAGACUGCCGUUGACAAAACGGAGGAAGGUGGGGAUGACGUCAAAUCAUCAUGCCCUUUAUGACCUGGGCUACACACGUACUACAAUGGCGUUUAACAAAGAGAAGCAAGACCGCGAGGUGGAGCAAAACUCAAAAACAACGUCUCAGUUCAGAUUGCAGGCUGCAACUCGCCUGCAUGAAGUCGGAAUUGCUAGUAAUCGCGGAUCAGCAUGCCGCGGUGAAUACGUUCCCGGGCCUUGUACUCACCGCCCGUCA
This 1344-nucleotide ribosomal RNA is filed under the name uncultured bacterium. Its description in RNAcentral is "bacterial SSU rRNA". It matches the Rfam family "Bacterial small subunit ribosomal RNA", at positions 38 to 1399 of the family's 1533-position model. The record is from RNAcentral.